Molecule: ribosomal RNA, 321 nt
Filed under: uncultured soil bacterium
Lineage: Bacteria
Description: bacterial SSU rRNA
Rfam family: Bacterial small subunit ribosomal RNA
Source: RNAcentral
AGAACGAACGCUGGCGGCAGGCUUAACACAUGCAAGUCGAGCGCGCGCUUUCGGGCGUGAGCGGCGGACGGGUGAGUAACGCGUGGGAACGUGCCCUUCGGUUCGGAACAGCCCCGGGAAACUGGGAUUAACGCCGGAUACGCCCGCCAUGGUGACAUGGUUGGGGAAAGUUUACGCCGAGGGAUCGGCCCGCGUCCGAUUAGGUAGUUGGUGGGUAACGGCUCACCAAGCCGACGAUCGGUAGCUGGUUUGAGAGGAUGAUCAGCCACACUGGGACUGAGACACGGCCCAGACUCCUACGGGAGGCAGCAGGUGGGGAAU